CUCUAGAGCCUAAAGGAAGCUCUAUCACUGAAAGAAUUCUUGUGAAUGAGAAAUGAGAAUCCUGAGAAGUAAUUUGCGACAAAGAAUUUUGUCAUCAGGAGCUGUGAAGACAACCAAUCUACCACACUGAAGUGCAGAAGUUCUUCCCAUGUUCAUUUUCACUUGAGCUUGAAGCAAACGCCCUGCACCUGCAGAAGAUAAGAUACACUCCCCAGCUGACUCAGGCGCUCCCCUUUGCCUGAGUUGUGCUAUCUCCCAAGGACAUCCUGUUUUCAGGCAGCUACCCAGCUGGCUGGUGCAACCCUGACCCAGUCCAUAUAUAAGAGAACAUAAACACUCCCUCGGUGCUGAUGAUGGGGAAUAGAAGACAUUGGGGGGCUAGCAAUCUGAAUCUGUGCCAGUAACCUAAUGUACAUUCUUGAUCGCCUACGUUAAGUCACUGUCCCUUUCUUCACAAUCUGGUCUAGCAAGACCUGUUUUCCUAAUUACUCACAAUUUACAAAGGGGCCAUAAACAAAGAAUGUAACAGCUUAGCUCCAGGGGAGGUCACUGACACCACCCAGACCAGGCAUUUAGAUACAGUCAAACUUCCCCAUCUAACUGACCCAGGAGGGGCUGUGGAAGCCCACCACAAAAGCCUGGUAGUUAGGAAACAGAUAGAAAACAAACAAACUGAAGGGUAUAAAAGGAAAGCUUCCUCCAUAUUCACUCACUCAGGAUUUGGAGAACUGACCCCCUGAGUUACUAUUCUAGUACAUCUGAAAAUAAAUGGGUUUAUCCUGGAUCUCCGAGUACUCCCAGUGUAUUUUUCGGUCGCCUGGUAAAUUCUGUAACACUGACACUGACACAAUAGUCUCAGCCCGCUGUGAGAGAAUAUAAUAAAAUUUCUUAAACUCUCAUGCCUCUUGGCCUGGCUCCUGUUGGCAUGUACCUAUCACAUAUCACUAGAAAAUCUGAAGAACAGAUAACCUUUGUGUAUAAAGAAGACCUACAGUUCUGCUUUGAGAUUAGAAUCUAGGAGAAGAAAGAGUUUACUUGGCUUUCCUUCAAGAGAGAGAGAGAGAGAGA
Long non-coding RNA from Myotis daubentonii (Daubenton's bat), 1068 nucleotides. RefSeq lists it as uncharacterized. The record is from RefSeq and is a predicted model, not a curated record. NCBI's taxonomy places the organism in Eukaryota, Metazoa, Chordata, Mammalia, Chiroptera, Vespertilionidae. The transcript is spliced from 3 exons.